This 393-nucleotide ribosomal RNA is filed under the name uncultured bacterium. RNAcentral's name for it is "partial 16S ribosomal RNA". It matches the Rfam family "Bacterial small subunit ribosomal RNA", at positions 523 to 918 of the family's 1533-position model. The record is from RNAcentral.
AUACGGAGGAUGCAAGCGUUAUCCGGAUUUAUUGGGUUUAAAGGGAGCGUAGGUGGGAUAUUAAGUCAGCUGUGAAAGUUUGGGGCUCAACCUUAAAAUUGCAGUUGAUACUGGUUUCCUUGAGUACGGUACAGGUGGGCGGAAUUCGUGGUGUAGCGGUGAAAUGCUUAGAUAUCACGAAGAACUCCGAUCGCGAAGGCAGCUCACCGGGCCGGAACUGACACUGAUGCUCGAAAGUGCGGGUAUCAAACAGGAUUAGAUACCCUGGUAGUCCGCACAGUAAACGAUGAAUACUCGCUGUUUGCGAUACACUGUAAGCGGCCAAGCGAAAGCGUUAAGUAUUCCACCUGGGGAGUACGCCGGCAACGGCGAAACUCAAAGGAAUUGACGGGG